This 440-nucleotide ribosomal RNA is filed under the name uncultured bacterium. RNAcentral describes it as "partial 16S ribosomal RNA". It matches the Rfam family "Bacterial small subunit ribosomal RNA", at positions 338 to 795 of the family's 1533-position model. The record is from RNAcentral.
CCUACGGGAGGCAGCAGUGGGGAAUAUUGCACAAUGGGGGAAACCCUGAUGCAGCGACGCCGCGUGAGUGAAGAAGUAUUUCGGUAUGUAAAGCUCUAUCAGCAGGGAAGAAAAUGACGGUACCUGAUGAAGAAGCACCGGCUAACUACGUGCCAGCAGCCGCGGUAAUACGUAGGGGGCAAGCGUUAUCCGGAUUUACUGGGCGUAAAGGGAGCGUAGACGGGAGCACAAGUCUGGAGUGAAAUGCCGGGGCUUAACCCCGGAACUGCUUUGGAAACUGUGCAUCUAGAGUGCAGGAGAGGUAAGUGGAAUUCGUAGUGUAGCGGUGAAAUGCGUAGAUAUUAGGAGGAACACCAGUGGCGAAGGCGGCUUACUGGACUGUAACUGACGUUGAGGCUCGAAAGCGUGGGGAGCAAACAGGAUUAGAUACCCUAGUAGUC